GUGGGGAAUAUUGGACAAUGGGCGCAAGCCUGAUCCAGCAAUGCCGCGUGGGUGAAGAAGGCCUUCGGGUUGUAAAGCCCUUUUGUACGGAAAGAAAUCCUGGUGGUUAAUACCCGCCGGGGAUGACGGUACCGUAAGAAUAAGCACCGGCUAACUUCGUGCCAGCAGCCGCGGUAAUACGAAGGGUGCAAGCGUUAAUCGGAAUUACUGGGCGUAAAGCGUGCGUAGGUGGUUUCUUAAGUCUGUCGUGAAAGCCCUGGGCUCAACCUGGGAAUGGCGAUGGAUACUGGGAGGCUAGAGUGCGGUAGAGGAUGGCGGAAUUCCCGGUGUAGCGGUGAAAUGCGUAGAGAUCGGGAGGAACAUCUGUGGCGAAGGCGGCCAUCUGGACCAGCACUGACACUGAGGCACGAAAGCGUGGGGAGCAAACAGGAUUAGAAACCCUAGUAGUCC
RNAcentral lists this ribosomal RNA (450 nucleotides) under uncultured bacterium. RNAcentral describes it as "partial 16S ribosomal RNA". It matches the Rfam family "Bacterial small subunit ribosomal RNA", at positions 354 to 796 of the family's 1533-position model. The record is from RNAcentral.